Molecule: ribosomal RNA, 253 nt
Filed under: uncultured bacterium
Lineage: Bacteria
Description: partial 16S ribosomal RNA
Rfam family: Bacterial small subunit ribosomal RNA
Source: RNAcentral
UACAGAGGUCCCGAGCGUUGUUCGGAAUUACUGGGCGUAAAGGGCGCGUAGGCGGUUAGAUAAGUUGGAUGUGAAAUCCCUGGGCUUAACCUAGGAACUGCAUUUGAAACUGUUUAACUGGAGUGCGGUAGAGGGUAGUGGAAUUUCCGGUGUAGCGGUGAAAUGCGUAGAUAUCGGAAGGAACACCAGUGGCGAAGGCGGCUACCUGGACUGACACUGACGCUGAGGCGCGAGAGCGUGGGGAGCAAACAGG